Molecule: ribosomal RNA, 460 nt
Filed under: uncultured bacterium
Lineage: Bacteria
Description: partial 16S ribosomal RNA
Rfam family: Bacterial small subunit ribosomal RNA
Source: RNAcentral
CCUACGGGCGGCAGCAGUGAGGAAUAUUGGUCAAUGGACGAGAGUCUGAACCAGCCAAGUCGCGUGAAGGAUGACUGCCCUAUGGGUUGUAAACUUCUUUUAUAAAGGAAUAAAACGAGGCACGUGUGCCUUUUUGCAUGUACUUUAUGAAUAAGCAUCGGCUAACUCCGUGCCAGCAGCCGCGGUAAUACGGAGGAUCCGAGCGUUAUCCGGAUUUAUUGGGUUUAAAGGGAGCGUAGACGGGUUGUUAAGUCAGUUGUGAAAGUUUGCGGCUCAACCGUAAAAUUGCAAUUGAUACUGGCAGUCUUGAGUACAGUUGAGGUAGGCGGAAUUCGUGGUGUAGCGGUGAAAUGCUUAGAUAUCACGAAGAACCCCGAUUGCGAAGGCAGCUUACUAGACUGUGACUGACAUUGAUGCUCGAAGGUGUGGGUAUCGAACAGGAUUAGAUACCCUUGUAGUC